GGUUAAGUUACAAAGGGCGCACGGUGGAUGCCUUGGCACUAGGAGCCGAUGAAGGACGGAACUAAUACCGAUAUGCUUCGGGGAGCUAUAAGUAAGCUUUGAUCCGGAGAUUUCCGAAUGGGGGAACCCAGUACACAUCAGUGUAUUGCCUGCAAGUGAAUACAUAGCUUGUUGGCGGCAGACGCGGGGAACUGAAACAUCUCAGUACCCGCAGGAAGAGAAAGAAAACUCGAUUCCCAUAGUAGCGGCGAGCGAAGUGGGAAGGAGCCCAAACCGAGAAGCUUGCUUUCUCGGGGGUUGUAGGACUGGACAUUGGAGUUACCAAAGUUCGACGUACUCGAAGUCAGCUGGCAAAGCUGCGCCAAUAGAAGGUGAAAAGCCCCUUGUAGACGAAAUCGGGCGGACUCCUCCGUUCCAAGCAUCCCUGGAGUACUGGCGGGAGCACGUGAUA
RNAcentral lists this ribosomal RNA (451 nucleotides) under Lacticaseibacillus rhamnosus. RNAcentral's name for it is "bacterial LSU rRNA". It matches the Rfam family "Bacterial large subunit ribosomal RNA", at positions 1 to 431 of the family's 2925-position model. The record is from RNAcentral. Lineage: Bacteria; Bacillati; Bacillota; Bacilli; Lactobacillales; Lactobacillaceae.